UUUUCACCAGAGCCAGUGGUGCAGUUGUGUGCAGUUCCUUGCACAAGCAGAAACUUGGAGAAUGCAGCUGACACCACCAGUUGUUUUGAGACAACUGAUGACCCCAACUCCAGGUCAGCCGCUGAAAAAGUUAGGGAAAGGACCAAAAAGAGCUGGAAGCAAAAACUUUGCCUGCCUAAAACAAAGACUGCUAAAGAGAGGAUCUCUAAAAAGUAUUUCUCUGGGACAAAUGCCGUGAGCCCGUUGGCACCAACCAAGGCAUGUCCACUGGACAUAGCUGGAGGAAAUCAUUCACUGGAGAACCUGACCUGUACAUCUUCAGUGGUCAUCAUCAGUGAACCACAUGCCUCCACGUCGCAGGCAAUAGAAAAUGCCCCUGCUCCUGACACAGCAGCAAAGAAACCAAAGAAGCG
This is a long non-coding RNA of Sardina pilchardus (European sardine), 413 nucleotides long. RefSeq lists it as uncharacterized. The transcript has 3 exons. Lineage: Eukaryota; Metazoa; Chordata; Actinopteri; Clupeiformes; Clupeidae. The record is from RefSeq and is a predicted model, not a curated record.